This 253-nucleotide ribosomal RNA is filed under the name uncultured bacterium. RNAcentral describes it as "partial 16S ribosomal RNA". It matches the Rfam family "Bacterial small subunit ribosomal RNA", at positions 524 to 776 of the family's 1533-position model. The record is from RNAcentral.
UACGGGGGGGGCAAGCGUUGUUCGGAAUUACUGGGCGUAAAGGGCUCGUAGGUGGCCAACUAAGUCGGACGUGAAAUCCCUCAGCUUAACUGGGGAACUGCGUCCGAUACUGGAUGGCUUGAGUUUGGGAGAGGGAUGCGGAAUUCCAGGUGUAGCGGUGAAAUGCGUAGAUAUCUGGAGGAACACCGGUGGCGAAGGCGGCAUCCUGGACCAACACUGACACUGAGGAGCGAAAGCCGGGGGAGCAAACGGG